GACGAACGCUGGCGGCGUGCUUAACACAUGCAAGUCGAACGGAAAGGCCCUGCUAUUGUGGGGUGCUCGAGUGGCGAACGGGUGAGUAACAGGAAAGUAACCGGCCCUUGAUUUUGGGAUAGCUUAAGGAAACGGGGCUUAAGCCAGUAUAGGAGCUCCUGUUGCAGGGUGGGGGUGGGAACGUUUCGGCGGUUGGGGAUGGAUGCGCGGCUUAUCGGCUUGUUGGUGGGGUAGUGGCUUACCAACGCUGUGACGGGUAGCCGGCCUGAGAGGGUGACCGGCCACAUUGCGACUGAGAUACGGCCCAGACUCCUACGGGAGACAGCAGUGGGGAAUAUUGCACAGUGAGCGGAAGCCUGAUGCAGCAACGCCGCGUGCGGGAUGACGGCCUUCUGGUUGUAAACCGCUUUCGCCUGUGACGAAGCGUGAGUGACGGUAAUGGGUAAAGAAGCACCGGCUAACUACGUG
This 468-nucleotide ribosomal RNA is filed under the name uncultured bacterium. RNAcentral's name for it is "partial 16S ribosomal RNA". It matches the Rfam family "Bacterial small subunit ribosomal RNA", at positions 28 to 507 of the family's 1533-position model. The record is from RNAcentral.